Molecule: long non-coding RNA, 1593 nt
Organism: Oncorhynchus kisutch (coho salmon)
Lineage: Eukaryota; Metazoa; Chordata; Actinopteri; Salmoniformes; Salmonidae
Exons: 4
Source: RefSeq, a predicted model, not a curated record
UUUGGACUAUUUUGUGUAUGUCUAUUACAUGAAAUACAAAUAAAAAUCCAUUUAAAUUACAGGUUGUAACAAAAUAGGAAAACCCAAGGAGGAUGAAAACUUUUGUAUCUGCUGUUAAAUCAGUGACUGAAUCAGACAUGAUGAAGAUUAAUUUGUAAUACUACGGUAAUAUCCUCCUCACUGUAGCGAUACUACGGCUCUCGACCCCGAGAUCUGUGGUGGUCUAAAGACCAGUGCAUUAUGUAUGUCACCAUCCACCCCAAUACCCCAGAGCACUUUUGAUGCACUUCGACAAGUUCAUCACCAAAAUGUAUCUCACUAUUGUCUAUACACUGCAACUCAAUAUUGUUACUUCCUAAUACCUGAUCCUAUUUGGCAAUUCAUUUUCAUAACUGAUGUUGUAACUGAGUAAUUGAACAGUAAUAAUAACAAUGACGAUCAAAAUUCCUGAGCCCCUAAUACACUUUUUGUAAAUGCAUUACUAUUCAAUUCCAAACUGCACUCAGUGUCAGUAGAAGUUAGGAUUGAUCUAUUGGUUGAUUGGUUAUUUCCAUCAAUGCAUCAGUGUCUACCAUCAUGGGUGCUACUAUGCUGUUCUGUAGGUACUCUGGUUGUGGGCUGGUGGUUCCUGAGAAGCUACAAGGCUGUAAUGUGCUGGAUCUGGACAGUGACUCUGACAGAUACCGCUUCAUCCUCAUUUAGCUAGUGAGUCUCAGUACUGACAGGACAGCAGAACUGGGCUAGAUGCUGAAACUGGAUGGGACAGGCAUACAGAAUGGCUCCCUGGAUGUCCUGGUGUAAAGCUGUUCCUUCGUUCUGCACCCUCGGGCGUGCUUUCUGCUGGGGAUCUAUUUGAGUGUCUUACUGAAGCAGAUCACAAACAACACACAUCCAGUGACACUCCCUCCUCUCCAUCUCCUUUCAGCUAAUAGUCAAACUGUGCCAUGUGUCUGUAUCCUGACAAAAAGGCUGUUCUCAGGGAGGCCUUCAGAGUGCUCGAGGAGAAGGUUUAAGUGGUGCCCUCUACUGGCGAGACCUGAUCUUUCUAGUACCCGAGGUGGGCUUCAGUACUCCAUACCUGAUCACAGUUUUGCCUCUGAAGGGCUGUAUUUGGGGUUCCUGCUUGAUUCCUACAGACAGACAUAGAGGUCAAAGUGCGUUUUGACCUCUAAGAGCAGUGGACUAGUAACCGGAAGGUUGCAAGUUCAAAUCCCCGAGCUGACAAGGUACAAAUCUGUCGUUCUUCCCCUGAACAGGCAGUUAACCCACUGUUCCUGGGCCAUCAUUGAAAAUAAGAAUUUGUUCUUAACUGACUUGCCUAGUUAAAAAAAAAAGUGGAUGCAGAAAUGGCAGCCAUGCUUCAGCAUUCCCGAUUCUCCUGACUUCUCCAUCCAAAGCUCAGGCAAAACUGCACCAAGACCUAAAUGUGGCCCCCAGGUAAACACUCUAGUAUCUCACCUGAGGGGCUAUCCAAAAACUAUCAUGCAUUUGUAUAUUUUUCCACCACGCUACAUAUAUGUGUUAUGUUAUCUGAUACAUUGCAUAUAGAGAAAGACAAAGCAAUUCUAGUCAGAAAUUCUUAUCAGUGUAAUU